UACGUAGGAGACGAGCGUUGUCCGGAAUUACUGGGCGUAAAGCGCGUGUAGGCGGAUGAGCAAGUCUGCUGUGAAAGCUCCUGGCUUAACCGGGAGUGGUCGGUGGAAACUGCUCGUCUGGAGGACGGUAGAGGUAGGUAGAAUUCCCGGUGUAGUGGUGAAAUGCGUAGAGAUCGGGAGGAAUACCUGUGGCGAAGGCGGCCUACUGGGCCGGACCUGACGCUGAGACGCGAAGGCGUGGGGAGCGAUCAGG
Molecule: ribosomal RNA, 253 nt
Filed under: uncultured bacterium
Lineage: Bacteria
Description: partial 16S ribosomal RNA
Rfam family: Bacterial small subunit ribosomal RNA
Source: RNAcentral